GACGAACGCUGGCGGCGUGCUUAACACAUGCAAGUCGAACGAAGUGGCGCACGGGUGAGUAACGCGUAAUCAACCUGCCCUUCAGAGGGGGACAACAGUUGGAAACGAAUGCUAAUAAGGCAUACUGACGUAGGGGAUUGCGUCUGAUGCGCUAGUUGGAGGGGUAACGGACCACCAAGGCGAUGAUCAGUAGCCGGUCUGAGAGGAUGAACGGCCACAUUGGGACUGAGAAACGGCCCAGACUCCUACGGGAGGCAGCAGGGGGGAAUCUGCCGCAAGGGACGAAAGUCUGACGGAGCAACGCCGCGUGAGUGAUGACGGCCUUCGGGUUGUAAAGCUCUGUUAAUCGGGACGCGGUACCGGAAUAGAAAGCCACGGCUAACUACGUGCCAGCCGCCGCGGUAAUAC
RNAcentral lists this ribosomal RNA (408 nucleotides) under uncultured bacterium. RNAcentral describes it as "partial 16S ribosomal RNA". It matches the Rfam family "Bacterial small subunit ribosomal RNA", at positions 28 to 526 of the family's 1533-position model. The record is from RNAcentral.